Molecule: long non-coding RNA, 597 nt
Filed under: Sorghum bicolor (sorghum)
Lineage: Eukaryota; Viridiplantae; Streptophyta; Magnoliopsida; Poales; Poaceae
Description: long non-coding RNA (SBIC_LNC001899)
Source: RNAcentral
GAGAAGUGUGCAAGAAAUCUUACAGCCAGCAAGUAGACUGUAUUAUUAAACAUGUUCUUAGAAAUUGCUCUAGCUCUGCCACUACGACGAAUUCACGGAUAUUAGAGUAGGAUGCUAAGUCUCCUACGCAUUUGUUCAGCUGGAUUGGGCUUGUUCACUCUCUGGGCCCGAAGAAUUUUGACCGCCUUGCUUCCGGCCUGCAAGUGGCCUGCUCCUCUUCUUCCCUGCCUUGCCGGCCUUGCUUUGUUGUCUUUAGUUUCAGCAUCGCCCAUCGUCAGGAUCCUGACACGAACACACGCCUAUAGUCCUAUAAGAAUGUACUUAUACAAUAGUAAAUCAGCAAACUUUAAUGAAAUUCCAACUUUGCAAGCACGGUACAAUUCAUUUUCUUCUUUUGGAGUCGGGGUAGCUAGGUUACCUGGGCGAUACGGUACCUUCUUUGACGUACGACGUCACCAUCUCUGUCCUGUACUUCUUGUCGUAGUCAAAAUUUCUGGAAUAAUAAACUGAAAUAAAUUAUGAAAAUAAGAUAACAUCAGGGAGAGCGUGCGGUCCAAACGAGACAGUGACAUCUAUCAACUCCUCUGCUUAGACUAG